GACGAACGCUGGCGGCGUGCUUAACACAUGCAAGUCGGACGGAAAGGCCCUGCUUGCAGGGUACUCGAGUGGCGAACGGGUGAGUAACACGUGGGUGAUCUGCCCUGCACUUCGGGAUAAGCCUGGGAAACUGGGUCUAAUACCGGAUAGGAGCCAUUUUUAGUGUGAUGGUUGGAAAGUUUUUUCGGUGUAGGAUGAGCUCGCGGCCUAUCAGCUUGUUGGUGGGGUAAUGGCCUACCAAGGCGGCGACGGGUAGCCGGCCUGAGGGGGUGGACGGCCACAUUGGGACUGAGAUACGGCCCAGACUCCUACGGGAGGCAGCAGUGGGGAAUAUUGCACAAUGGGCGCAAGCCUGAUGCAGCGACGCCGCGUGGGGGAUGACGGCCUUCGGGUUGUAAACUCCUUUCGCUAGGGACGAAGCUUUUUGUGACGGUACCUAGAUAAGAAGCACCGGCUAACUACGUG
RNAcentral lists this ribosomal RNA (465 nucleotides) under uncultured bacterium. RNAcentral describes it as "partial 16S ribosomal RNA". It matches the Rfam family "Bacterial small subunit ribosomal RNA", at positions 28 to 507 of the family's 1533-position model. The record is from RNAcentral.